This 664-nucleotide ribosomal RNA is filed under the name uncultured Alphaproteobacteria bacterium. RNAcentral's name for it is "bacterial SSU rRNA". It matches the Rfam family "Bacterial small subunit ribosomal RNA", at positions 28 to 740 of the family's 1533-position model. Lineage: Bacteria; Pseudomonadati; Pseudomonadota; Alphaproteobacteria. The record is from RNAcentral.
AGCGAACGCUGGCGGCAGGCCUAACACAUGCAAGUCGAGCGCACCUUCGGGUGAGCGGCGGACGGGUGAGUAACGCGUGGGAACGUGCCCUUUGGUACGGGAUAACUGAGGGAAGCUUCAGCUAAUACCGUAUGUGCCCUACGGGGGAAAGAUUUAUCGCCAUUGGAGCGGCCCGCGUUGGAUUAGGUAGUUGGUGGGGUAAAGGCCCACCAAGCCGACGAUCCAUAGCUGGUCUGAGAGGAUGAUCAGCCACACUGGGACUGAGACACGGCCCAGACUCCUACGGGAGGCAGCAGUAGGGAAUCUUGCGCAAUGGGCGAAAGCCUGACGCAGCCAUGCCGCGUGAAUGAUGAAGGUCUUAGGAUUGUAAAAUUCUUUCACCGGGGAAGAUAAUGACGGUACCCGGAGAAGAAGCCCCGGCUAACUUCGUGCCAGCAGCCGCGGUAAUACGAAGAGGGCUAGCGUUGCUCGGAAUUACUGGGCGUAAAGGGCGCGUAGGCGGAUGUUUAAGUCGGGGGUGAAAGCCCGGGGCUCAACCUCGGAAUUGCCUUCGAUACUGGACAUCUUGAGUACGGGAAAGGUGAGUGGAACUCCGAGUGUAGAGGUGAAAUUCGUAGAUAUUCGGAAGAACACCAGUGGCGAAGGCGACUCACUGGCCCGUUAC